This 274-nucleotide ribosomal RNA is filed under the name uncultured bacterium. RNAcentral describes it as "partial 16S ribosomal RNA". It matches the Rfam family "Bacterial small subunit ribosomal RNA", at positions 523 to 796 of the family's 1533-position model. The record is from RNAcentral.
AUACGGAGGGAGCAAGCGUUGUUCGGAAUCACUGGGCGUAAAGCGAGUGUAGGUUGUCAGGUAAGUAGGAUGUGAAAGCCCGGGGCUCAACCCCGGAAUUGCAUUCUAAACUGCCUGGCUAGAGUCCCGGAGAGGGAGGUGGAAUUCCGAGUGUAGAGGUGAAAUUCGUAGAUAUUCGGAGGAACACCAGAGGCGAAGGCGACCUCCUGGACGGUGACUGACACUGAGACUCGAAAGCGUGGGGAGCAAACAGGAUUAGAAACCCCAGUAGUCC